RNAcentral lists this ribosomal RNA (74 nucleotides) under Clostridioides difficile. RNAcentral's name for it is "partial 23S ribosomal RNA". It matches the Rfam family "Bacterial large subunit ribosomal RNA", at positions 2852 to 2925 of the family's 2925-position model. Lineage: Bacteria; Bacillati; Bacillota; Clostridia; Peptostreptococcales; Peptostreptococcaceae. The record is from RNAcentral.
GUUGAUAGGUCGAAGGUGUAAGUGCAGCAAUGUAUUUAGCUUAUCGAUACUAAUAGGUCGAGGACUUGACCAAG